RNAcentral lists this long non-coding RNA (3961 nucleotides) under Homarus americanus (American lobster). RNAcentral describes it as "uncharacterized LOC121863069, transcript variant X3". Lineage: Eukaryota; Metazoa; Arthropoda; Malacostraca; Decapoda; Nephropidae. The record is from RNAcentral.
GUGUGGUAGUGAAAGGAUCGAAAGUUUUCUCUGCGGGAAUCUUCGGUUUUCCAUCAAUUAAGACUACUUUAACAACUCUUUGAGGCUCGUGUAAGAUUGUUCCAAGAGUUCACAAGUCUAUGGGUAGAAUAAUGUGACACAGGUUACAAUAUGUCUUUUAUCCCGUUACUCCUUGCUCUCCACAUCUGCCGUAAGGUAUAGUAUUUGUGGCCAUAUAUUUAAAGAUAGUUAGGUUUGAUCUACACGUUUUGCCAGUUUAUAAUUUCUACGUAAAUUCAGUUGUAAUCCAACACCUAAUACUUGCCAAUAGUGUAACAGCCAGUUCUUGUCAACACGGUAUAACAGAGGAUAAAGUCAAGUAUAACAACAUUUUAUAAUAAUGAUUUUCUAACAAUAAACAAGCAGAAUUCCAUGUACUAUAAAUACAAUUAAUUUAAGGGAGUUAAAUUUGUGAGUGGAAUGGACCAGUUUAAAUGUUGGCUGGUACAGUUUAAAGUCCGCUAUGAAUGGCGUAGUAAGUUUAAAAGGCCGUGGUUAUAUUACUGCUAGUGUUAUGUCGAGGAAUACUUAUUGGAGGUUUGUUUAGAUUAAUAUUGUUUAAUGUCCGUCACAUUAAUGCAGUAGACGUAUUUUUCAGACGUGAUAAGAGGAGUCGUGGCCCUGAUGGAUCACCGCUUUAACUGUUGACUAUUACUUCCAGCUCACCAAUAUUUACUAUUAUGUUGCAUUAGUUAACCCUGACUGACUGACUGACUUAAGCAAUGAUUUUUACCUCCUUGUUGUGGUACUUUACUGAGGGUUCGUCACUGCCAUGUGUACCAUUAUUAUAUCUCUACAUGUGGCAGGUCUGAUAUAUACAUGAAGGUCUGAUAUAUACAUGUGGCAGGUCUGAUAUAUACAUGAGGAAGGUCUGAUAUAUACAUGAGGAAGGUCUGAUAUAUACAUGUGGCAGGUCUGAUAUAUACAUGAGAAAGGUCUGAUAAGGUCUUCCCAUAUUGGUUCAGGCAUCAGAGGCUGGAACAGUGAUGAUAGAUGUGGUUUACAGAGUUGUGGCCAAAACAUGCCUAAUAUAUUUGAGGCUACUGCUUAUUGUUUUUACCUUUUAUCCUUAAUUACCUGUGAUUAUUUUUCCUAACAGGUCGUCUUUGCUGAUCACCUUAAAAUAUCGCCGGUCAGCCGCUUAAACAUGAAGGUAUAAUGUAUGAGAACACUGUUGCCACUAGGACGAGUUAAGAUUUUGUUCAUUUUUUUCCACAGAUGUUCUUAACAUUAUUGUAAGUAUUUUAAGAGGCAACAUUUACUAGAACCUGACCUAACCAACCAAAUAAACCUACCUAUCUUACCUAACUUCCUAGCCAGAGGGCAGACCCCCUGCCAUAUUAAACAGAAAGUACUUAUUUUAAUAUCUGGUACCAAUUAAAGCUACUUUGUUGAAGCAUUAUGGAGUACAGGUAAUUUACAUUUUUUGUGUACACUCGGACCGAAUGGGUCGGUUGUAGACAAACAGCCGACAUGCCGUGACUGCAGAUUUUUUAGUAGUAUUUACAGUAAUUAAUUAAUUCACGUACAAAGAACUCCGACAUCAUUUUAGUCAUAUGAUCAGUUUUUCACUCUUGCCCCACAAUUUCUCUCACCCUUCAUGCCCUGUCCACUACAGGUGAUUUAUGUUCGUAGAGAAAACUAAAAAUAAUUAAAAUAAAAAGCGGUCUACUUAUAAUUAAAGUACAGUACUUACUAUGUGGACUAAACCAGACCUAACUCCUGGUGGCAGUUUCCUCGUAGAUUACCAACAUGAACCAUAAUGUUGACUUAACUCUUGAUUUUCUAAAGGUUUAAUGUUGUUGUUUCCUUUUGGGUUUUUCUUUCUCGUUUUGUUUUAGUUUGUCAUUUUAAUUAUAUUUUCAACUUUUUACCAUUAAUUAUCUCUGGUGCCAUGUUACAGGUCUUACUCAUUGUUUUCAGGUUUGUUACAGUCUUAAUUAAUGUUUUUUAGGGUUAUGUUACAGGUCUUAAUUAUGUUGUCAUGUAAUCUUAUUUUUGUAUUUACUUUUUUACCGGUUUUUUUCAUAUUGCAAUAUUAUUCUUUCCAAUCAUUCAACAGCUUAGUCACUCCACCAUUGAACUGUUGUAUUCAGUUCACACCAUCUUGAUGCGUACAGGUCUACCAAACCGUGUGAAAUUAAUUACAUUUACGAGAUGAAUUAAAUGAAACUGUGACCGGUGCGAUCCAUCUACUAAAUGUAUGAGCGGACUCUGACAAUACGUAUUGCAUCGACUCGUCUUAAACCGUGCGUAAGAGCCGUGCGGAUGUAAUAUGAUCCGCUUGCCCUCCGCUAUAUAACUAAUUAUCCAGUUGUUUGUUGGCUUCUUACCAGGUCAAGUGGUGCACUGUGCUGCUGUAGUUUCAGGAAUGUUUAACAGGCACCCUGCUACUGUGCAUUACCAGCAUGAUUACAGUACUGUAGUCGUCUGAUUCAUUGUUAUAUUUUGUUAUAUUUUGUAGAUGAGUAAACUGCUGUAUUUAGUAUGUAUACAGGCUGCAUUGUACAUUAUUGUAUUAAAUGUAUUUACCACAAUGUAUAGUGUAUUGUAGGACCAUCUUAGCAUGUGUAAGUUGACCUUACUUAAUACAGUAUUGUAGUUUUAUUAUUUGUAGUGUUGACAAUUUGUACCAUUUAAUACUGUAGCAGUAGUUGUGUCGGUGCUUGCCAGUACUUCUCAACAGUAACAGCCGUGACCGACCGCCCAAGCAGCUAACGAGCCGAUCAAUGGUGAAGAGGAUAAAGGUAAACCAGGUGCUGUAUGUCUGGAGCUUGUCUGUGUGGUAAAUGUUAUGUUUUGGUUGGUGUACAGUACAGGUUAUGUUGUGUGACCAAGAGAUUAAGGUCUACAAAUGAAUGGCUGUUGUCUCUUAUGUGGUCUUUAUAUUUUAAAGUUAAAUAAAGUUAUCUAUAAAUAUUUAACAUAAGACCUACAGUACAGGUAUUAAGUUAAUAUUCCAUUACAGAAGAUGACCCCCUGGAUGACUGUGCCCUGCAAGAAACACAGGCAGCCAGGGCUCCCACUACAUCAAUACCUGGAUUAAUCACAAAAUGGUGAUAAGUAAAUGUUUCUUUUUAUAUUAAAAUCUAAAAUCUUGAGAACCCAAAAAGAUGAAAUAAAACAAAUAAUUCACAUUACAACAGCUGUGUACAUAAGGGUCCAGUCAGAAUUUUGGGGGACCUUUUUUAAGGUUUUAAAUUUAUUAUCUACUCAUUUUUGAUGGAUUUUAGCUCGAGAGUGUCUACUAAUCCUAUAGUUUGGCCGCCAUCUUGGAAAAUGAAGGUGAAUAUAUACAUGUACUGCCUGAGGUCUUCUAGACUCAUGGUGACUGUUUCAUCACUGGUUAAGACUGUUUCAUAGCUGAAUGAUUCAUGUCUACGGUCCUUCUUGCUUGGAGUGUGUUUGAACAGAGGGUUCCAAAUCUGAUGCUGGUGUUGGGUUUGGAGCAAUCUUCCAAUAAGGCUGGGAGUUUUAAUAUUUUUUAUUCCAAAGCAGCACUGUCAGGUCAGCCAUCCUUGCCUCUGGCAGCUACAAUGGAACAAUUUAUCUGUUCCCAAGAUAUUGCCAGAUUACAAAAAUGAUUAUCUGUGUAAACCUCCUUGGAUGCCCUGCCACUGAGGCUGCUGUUACCCAUCUGUUGUGUACACUCACCCCACCCACAGUUUCCUUAUGGCCAGAGGACCACAGCCCUAUUGUGAUGACUGCCUGAUAGUGUCCGUCAUGGGGACUUGAGACAUUUUCUGACCAAGUGCUGACAGGAGGAUGGUUCCUUCUCCAUCUCAAAGGUUCUCAGUGAUGCUGUAUCCUGAGAUGCUGAACCAUAGACUCAACCUUACCAGAAGCAGAAACCUCGCCACCUCGAUCCUGCACCCAUGAAGGAGGCAUUGGUUCCUGUCUCUUCACUGUCCUGUCUCCAAGA